This 199-nucleotide ribosomal RNA is filed under the name uncultured bacterium. RNAcentral's name for it is "partial 16S ribosomal RNA". It matches the Rfam family "Bacterial small subunit ribosomal RNA", at positions 328 to 539 of the family's 1533-position model. The record is from RNAcentral.
ACGCUCGACACCUACGGGAGGGCAGCAGUGGGGAAUAUUGCACAAUGGGGGAAACCCUGAUGCAGCGACGCCGCGUGAGCGAAGAAGUAUUUCGGUAUGUAAAGCUCUAUCAGCAGGGAAGAAACUGACGGUACCUGACUAAGAAGCACCGGCUAAAUACGUGCCAGCAGCCGUGGUAAUCUGAGCGGGCUGGCAAGGC